AUCAUCGCCAUGGCCCAAACACAGAUUGGACGAGAACACGAUUUCAUCGUGGAGUCCAUCUCAAUCAGCUGUUGUUUGCAAGGCACAUUUUACUGAAAAAGACUACGUGCAGGAAACUAUUCAUGGGCGCAAACCCACCAUACAGAGACUUAAGUCUACUGCCAUUCCCAGCCUAUUUUCCUGGACCAAGCAAGAGACUGAAUCGUCCGCAAAAAGAAAAAUCAGGGCAGUUUCCUGUGAAAACAAAAGAACUAAACUUGAUGAAUAUUGUAGUAGAAAUCUAGAGGAAAGUUUUGAUUGUAAAGUUGGUUUUCCUGAAGAAGUCAUUCAUACUGCAGAAAGGAUUUAUGACUGUCCACCACCAACUGCUGAGCUAAUGUUGAGCUUCAAAGAUGGAAUUACGCAAACACCAUCAAUGUCUAUGUUUUCAGCAGAGAAUUUUGAAAUGAAGACAUGUGACACAGCCAUGCAUUUUUAUACCAGUUUAGAGUUGUAUACUAAAUUUUUAUUUGUUUUGACCACACUUGGUCCAACAGCACAUUGUUUGAGAUACUGUAUUACAUAUAUUUUCAAAUUGAUAGGGUGUCAGUUGAAAAUCAAUUUUUUUAUGAUUUUGAUGAAAUUGAGGCAUUAUACAACCAACUUUGAACUUUCUAGAUUCUAGAUUGAAUCUAGUGUUAAGAAUAUUGUGUAUACAUGGAUUGUUUUUAUGCCUAAACAGUGGUGUGAGGCUAACACUUGGCCAUCUAGUGGUUUAGUCAGGCAUUUUUCGCCAUCCAACUUCAAAUUAAAGUUUCCUACGACUUGGAUUAUUAUUGACAGCACAAAAUAUCCCGUGAUAAAACUAAAGCUCCUAGAGCUCAGGCAACCUUUUCAUCAUAUAAAAACAGAAACACUGAAAAUACUUGUAUGUUCGACGCCUGGUGGUUUAGUCAACUAUGUCUCUAAUGCAUAUGUUGGUUCUACCAGUGACUAUGAAAUAGUUGAAAGAUGUAGAAUACAAAAUGUAGUUCAAUUAUGUGAUCCAGCCAUCCAGGUGACAGUGUGAUGGCAGACAAAGGUUUAAAUGUGCAAGAUUUUUUUGCUAACUUUUUUCAAAAAAAGAAACAGAAUUAGUUCCAAAACUCUUAUACGGGAUAGAAAAGUCUCCAAUUAACAUGUGCACAUAGAGCGAAUUAUUGGACUUGGCAAAACAUACAAAAUUCUAACAAAUCCUAUGAAUGGAACUGAAACAAAACUUUCAUCUGAAAUAACAUUUAGUUGUUUUAUGUUGUGUAAUUUUAGAACUUGUAUUGUGCCAAUGGAUGCAGAAAUAAAAGUGACGCAAUGAA
This is a long non-coding RNA of Mytilus californianus (California mussel), 1331 nucleotides long. RefSeq lists it as uncharacterized. Lineage: Eukaryota; Metazoa; Mollusca; Bivalvia; Mytilida; Mytilidae. The record is from RefSeq and is a predicted model, not a curated record. The transcript is spliced from 2 exons.